GCCUACUAGCUCCUGUGAAAGGAUAAAAAGCUUCACAGCCCUUGAGGCAAGGAAAGAACAGUAGAAAGAAACCACCUGUUUUAGCCAUAGACCUUUGUGCAGACGAUUCUAUUUGUAUUUGUUUUUGUGGUAAGGAGAGUGUAUUUCAGAAAGAAUCAGCAGCCUCUCACCGAAAUAUUUCCCUUUGGCCAAAAUCUAGGGAAAUCCACAUGGUAACUUCUAAAGUCAAUUUAUGGGUUUUUAUGGAGAUCCUAGAACAGAGUUAUCAAACUGCUGACCCGUGAGCCGGUUUCAUCAUACCAAAGCUGCACCUACCCCAUUGCCGGCAAUGCAAAAAAAAGAAGUUGCGAUACGUCGAGCCACAUCACAUGACAUGGCGAGUUUGACACCCGUGUCCUAGAAAGAUGCUUUGAACAAGGACAAAAUAAAAGAGACACUCAUGUGACAGUACAGUAGGUUUCACACCUGUCUGUGAGGGGACAGUUCAGAAAAUCAAGCAGAUGUGCUGGGACUAUUGGCUGAGUGUACCAAAGAAACUUUAGAAAACUUGUCCUUAACCACAUGUUUCAAGAAUAUUUACUUUCUGUAAUAUUAUAGCAUUUUGCUUUGCCACUUUUUCACAGUGUUGGAUCUUCAGGUUUUCUUAAUACUAUAUUCUAACCUUUUCAAAGUAGUGUAGCAAUUACAAUUGUACUAGGGCUGAGAAUGACUCUGGUUUAUAACCUGAGCCUGAUUCUGCCAUGAGAACUGAAUUCUGCCACUGGAUAGGUUCAAUCGCUAUCUGACAGCCUAAGCCAAUCCCACAGAAUUGAUAUGUGGAUAAUAUUAGAGAAGGCAAAUAUUAUGUGCUCUACAUGGAACUAUGGUGGAAAGGUGAGAUAAAAAUCCAGUCUCUGUUGCUUGAUAUUAUAUGGAUUUCUCUCUCAGCUAUACAUAUGAUAGCAUAGUUAAACCCUAAAAAUGCAAUUGAGAUGCCUAGCCUAAUUGGGCUGAGGAAAGAUGGAGAUGUGGUAGAGACAGUGAGCUCUCACUCUGUCUCAGGAAGGCUUACUUUAACUUUCCAGAUGUCUUAAGAAUCUUGUCUUAACUUCAAUAUGGCAUUUCCUUCUAUCCUUUUAUCAUUUUGCUUCAAGAAAUGUCAUCUAUGUUCUGUAUCCAGGCUAUAUGCUCUAUUUUAAAACUGAAUUGUAUGCUAAAUACUUUCCUCUUCUGCUUAAACUGCUUGUUUCUUAAAGGGCACUUUCACAAAUUGUGUUGGAUCACAUGAAGAGAAGUUCUGUUCUUUGGUGAUCCCCUAAUAUUGUUGUAUCUGCCAGCCGAAACAUGUAUUUUCAGCCCAGCUGUGGGGCAACCAAAAAUAAUACUUAGUCCCUGCAAUUUUUUUGGCAAGAUUUCUGAAGUGGUUUGCUGCUGUCUCCUUCCCAGAGCUAGGAGAAACCAACUGGCCAAGGCCACCCAACUGACUACACCAAACUGCUCUCUAACAUAUAUUAAUCACUGCAAAGUUUGUAUCCCUGCAAAUUUUUGCAAUUUGGAUCCAGAUCAAGUUGUUGAACUCAGACACAACUGAUGAUUUUUUGGAACAACUUAGCUAUGAUCAGAGAUUCAGAAAUCCUGCAUAGUUUUGGAACAGGGCAGCAAAUGAGCAUUCCCAGGAUAUCACAGAGAGGAGAGUUGGAGAAAGAUCUUUUGGGUCACAUGCUUGGAUGUUCAGAAUUAAGACUUUUUUGUCCUUCGAACCACUUAAUCCACUUAAGUUUCAUAGAAUGUGAGAGAUACAUGAAAACCACAUUACCAAAGAAUGUGGAUUGUUUCUUGCCCAAAGAUAAUGCUCCAUCUAUGAUGUCUUGGGUCUAGCUAGCAAAUCAGAAAUUAUCUAGGAAUUAAACCUAGCUUUCUAAUGAACGGUAAUAAAAUUACUGAUUAAAGGUGCAGAGGUUUUCAGUGAUUUUCCAUUUCACUCUUGUGAGAAAUAAAACCGGGAUUCCAUCUAUUCAAGUCUAAAGAAGAGGGUUCCAGAAGCUCUAGAGGGCACUGCAAUGCCAUAUCAAACCUUGGAAUUUGUUCAACUGCUCAGAGGUUGUCCUUCAAUCACAUGCCUAUUUUAUAGACAGUAAUGAGUGUGUGUGUGUGUAUGUGUGAGAGAGAGAGAGAGAGAGAGUUUCCUUGACCUCUCUUUCUGCUUGCUUGUUUAUUCUAAAGGGAGAGGCUCCCUUUUCUGCAAUGUCUGAUUAAGAUAAAAUAAUUUACAGCCUGGCAACUUCCAGAGGUGCUUGGACUAGUUUUCAGAAUUGCCAGGUAGUUGACAGGGAACAGCCUCUAGCCAGACUACAGAGUCAAGAAGAGGAACAAGAAAAGAAGGCACAUCUGAUUGUCAAAAGACACAUUGCAAUUGAUCUGCCCAGAACUUCUGGAAAUUAUAGUUACCAAAAUAUUUGGACAACCUCAGGAUGAAGAAGGCAACAUUGAAUUUCUGUUCUGUAUGAGUAGAUGGUUAAGAAAAACAUAUUAUAUAAUUGUAAAUCUUUAUUAAAAUAAUCUGUGGUCCAA
Molecule: long non-coding RNA, 2550 nt
Organism: Crotalus tigris (Tiger rattlesnake)
Lineage: Eukaryota; Metazoa; Chordata; Lepidosauria; Squamata; Viperidae
Exons: 5
Source: RefSeq, a predicted model, not a curated record